Molecule: ribosomal RNA, 388 nt
Filed under: uncultured organism
Description: bacterial SSU rRNA
Rfam family: Bacterial small subunit ribosomal RNA
Source: RNAcentral
UGCUUAACACAUGCAAGUCGAACGGCAGCACAGUACGUAGCAAUACGUAUGGGUGGCGAGUGGCGGACGGGUGCGUAACGCGUAGGAAUCUACCCUAAAGCGGGGGAUAACCCGAGGAAACUCGGGCUAAUACCGCAUAAUAUCGAGAGAUCAAAGCUGGGGCAACCUGGCACUUUAGGAGGAGCCUGCGUCCGAUUAGCUAGUUGGUAAGGUAAAAGCUUACCAAGGCGAUGAUCGGUAGCUGGUCUGAGAGGAUGAUCAGCCACACUGGGACUGAGACACGGCCCAGACUCCUACGGGAGGCAGCAGUGGGGAAUAUUGGACAAUGGGGGCAACCCUGAUCCAGCAAUACCGCGUGUGUGAAGAAGGCCUUCGGGUUGUAAAGCUC